RNAcentral lists this ribosomal RNA (465 nucleotides) under uncultured bacterium. RNAcentral describes it as "partial 16S ribosomal RNA". It matches the Rfam family "Bacterial small subunit ribosomal RNA", at positions 28 to 507 of the family's 1533-position model. The record is from RNAcentral.
GACGAACGCUGGCGGCACGCUUAACACAUGCAAGUCGAACGAGAGAAGAGAAGCUUGCUUUUCUGAUCUAGUGGCGGACGGGUGAGUAACACGUGAGCAAUCUGCCUUUCAGAGGGGGAUACCGAUUGGAAACGAUCGUUAAUACCGCAUAACAUAAUUGAACCGCAUGAUUUGAUUAUCAAAGAUUUAUCGCUGAAAGAUGAGCUCGCGUCUGAUUAGCUAGUUGGUAAGGUAACGGCUUACCAAGGCGACGAUCAGUAGCCGGACUGAGAGGUUGAUCGGCCAAAUUGGGAAUGAGACACGGCCCAGACUCCUACGGGAGGCAGCAGUGGGGAAUAUUGCACAAUGGAGGAAACUCUGAUGCAGCGAUGCCGCGUGAGGGAAGAAGGUUUUAGGAUUGUAAACCUCUGUCUUCAGGGACGAAAAAAGACGGUACCUGAGGAGGAAGCUCCGGCUAACUACGUG